RNAcentral lists this ribosomal RNA (465 nucleotides) under Vreelandella stevensii. Its description in RNAcentral is "partial 16S ribosomal RNA". It matches the Rfam family "Bacterial small subunit ribosomal RNA", at positions 338 to 795 of the family's 1533-position model. Lineage: Bacteria; Pseudomonadati; Pseudomonadota; Gammaproteobacteria; Oceanospirillales; Halomonadaceae. The record is from RNAcentral.
CCUACGGGCGGCUGCAGUGGGGAAUAUUGGACAAUGGGCGAAAGCCUGAUCCAGCCAUGCCGCGUGUGUGAAGAAGGCCUUCGGGUUGUAAAGCACUUUCAGUGGGGAAGAAAGCCUUGGGGCUAAUACCCUCGAGGAAGGACAUCACCCACAGAAGAAGCACCGGCUAACUCCGUGCCAGCAGCCGCGGUAAUACGGAGGGUGCGAGCGUUAAUCGGAAUUACUGGGCGUAAAGCGCGCGUAGGCGGUCUGAUAAGCCGGUUGUGAAAGCCCCGGGCUCAACCUGGGAACGGCAUCCGGAACUGUCAGGCUUGAGUGCAGGAGAGGAAGGUAGAAUUCCCGGUGUAGCGGUGAAAUGCGUAGAGAUCGGGAGGAAUACCAGUGGCGAAGGCGGCCUUCUGGACUGACACUGACGCUGAGGUGCGAAAGCGUGGGUAGCAAACAGGAUUAGAUACCCCAGUAGUC